Long non-coding RNA from Mauremys reevesii (Reeves's turtle), 604 nucleotides. RefSeq lists it as uncharacterized. Lineage: Eukaryota; Metazoa; Chordata; Testudines; Geoemydidae. The record is from RefSeq and is a predicted model, not a curated record. The transcript has 3 exons.
AAAAUCAGGAGCGGAGUGAGGGGUGUGUGUGUAAUAGGUGCCUAUAUAAGAAAAAGACCCCAAAAUCAGGAUUGUCCCCAUAAAAUCAGGACCUCUGAUCACCCUAAACCAGCCUGAGACCACCCAGAGCUGUGAUGACUGAAGCAUGGAGGCUGUAGGCAGAGGCAUAACUUAUGCACGAGCGGGCUAUGCAGGGGGUCUGCUACAGCAGCUACCAUGACACAGAAAUUUAGUCCUCAUCGCUGCAACACUUACUGAGACCCUCCUCCCAAAGCAAAGCUUGGAAGAACCAUUAGCUGCAGGAACUUAAAAUGGCAGCUACCCGUAGAGGUGGCAGACGUGUAGCAUGGGAGCAGUCACGCUGGAAAAGCAGCAGUUGAAAUGGUUUAGCACAGAACUGAUGAAGAUCCCGAUGGGAAGAAGAAAAGCGGUGGUUUCUUUCACUGCCCACAGCACCAUGGCUACUCCCUUUUGAACAACCUUCAGCCCAAAUGACCCUCCCAAGAAAAUCAACCACCAGAUCCUGAUAUCAGCAGAAACCUAGGAGAAGCUUGUAUUCUAAGUCCUCACAGAAAUGCAAUGAAAUAUUACUUGAGAGACCUCA